ACCCGCUGAACUUAAGCAUAUCAAUAAGCGGAGGAAAAGAAACCAACAGGGAUUGCCUUAGUAACUGCGAGUGAAGCGGCAAAAGCUCAAAUUUGAAAUCUGGUGCCUUCGGCGCCCGAGUUGUAAUUUGGAGAGACAUCUUCGGAGUAGACGCCGUCCUAAGUUCCUUGGAACAGGACGUCACAGAGGGUGAGAAUCCCGUGCCUGGAUGGCUGUUCUACUUCAUGUGAAGUGUCUUCGACGAGUCGAGUUGUUUGGGAAUGCAGCUCAAAAUGGGAGGUAAAUUUCUUCUAAAGCUAAAUAUUGGCGAGAGACCGAUAGCGCACAAGUAGAGUGAUCGAAAGAUGAAAAGCACUUUGAAAAGAGAGUUAAAAAGUACGUGAAAUUGUUGAAAGGGAAGCGCUUGAGACCAGACUCGACCAGUGGUGAUCAGCGGUGCUUCUGUGCCGUGCACUUGCCAUUGGUUGGGCCAGCAUCGGUUUGGACGGCGGGAUAAAGACCUAAGGAAUGUGGCUCCCACCGGGGAGUGUUAUAGCCUUGAGUGCAAUGCCGCCAGUCUGGACCGAGGACCGCGCUUCGGCUAGGAUGCUGGCGUAAUGGUCUU
This 604-nucleotide ribosomal RNA is filed under the name uncultured fungus. Its description in RNAcentral is "eukaryotic LSU rRNA". It matches the Rfam family "Eukaryotic large subunit ribosomal RNA", at positions 23 to 641 of the family's 3401-position model. The record is from RNAcentral. Lineage: Eukaryota; Fungi.